CUCGUAGGUGGUUUGUCGCGUUGUUCGUGAGAACUCACAACUCAAUUGUGGGCGUGCGGGCGAUACGGGCAGACUGGAGUACUGCAGGGGAGACUGGAAUUCCUGGUGUAGCGGUGGAAUGCGCAGAUAUCAGGAGGAACACCGGUGGCGAAGGCGGGUCUCUGGGCAGUAACUGACGCUGAGGAGCGAAAGCGUGGGAGCGAAC
This 205-nucleotide ribosomal RNA is filed under the name uncultured bacterium. RNAcentral describes it as "partial 16S ribosomal RNA". It matches the Rfam family "Bacterial small subunit ribosomal RNA", at positions 568 to 773 of the family's 1533-position model. The record is from RNAcentral.